CAGCUUUAACGAACAUCUACUACGUACAUUAGGAUUCCAAAAUAUAUUGUACAUUUAGGCCUACUUCUAAAAGAAAAACGCGAAAAUUAUGUCUGUAUGUUACUUUUCUUUGUCCUUAUAACCGAGUUAAACCGUUCCGGAUCCCAAUUGGGAUGCUUUCAGCGCUUCCCUAGACCAAAUCUUGCUAAAAAAGGGAAGGGGGCGCAAAUGAAAUUGUUUUCACAACUAGUAAACGUUUGAGAAACACGGAUCUACAGUUUAUUAUGGAAUAUUAAGGUACAUUAUAGUUUGUAUAAUUGAGUACGCAUUUUAGCAUGUAGGCUAAAUGAUGUAUUUCAAUAAAUCUCAAAAGUGAUUCUCUUGGCAAAAACAUUAUCUAUAUAUAGCCUACCUUACCUAAAGACAUGCGAUAUUUUGUUCUCUUAGUUAAAACAGAAGUCAUAGCUAAUCAAUUUUUCGCCAAACAAAACUGUUAUAAGUGAAUCUGAAACACAAUAGAUGUCAGAACACAAACGGCUUUAAAAAAAUGACUGUUAUAGCCUUAUAGGCUACAGCAAGUCCUUUUUUUAUCACGAGAAACUUUAGCAUUUUGUAGAAGCGAAGUUUUAGAUUGUGACUAUAUAAUAGGCCUAUAUAUUGUAGAUAUUUUGAGCUAGGUAAUACACUCUAUAGUUAUUCUUAUUAUUUGAGCGCAAUGUAUUUAUGAUAUUACAAUUUUUGUUCCUAGAAUAAAAAAGGGGGGAGGGGGCGCCAAAAAAUGGCGUGUUACAGAUACACUGCCCGUUUUUAAACAGUUACUUCAAGAUAUCUAGUCAGGAUAGAGUCUGGCUUUAACAUCUUCAUUAUAGUGAUGUUUUUAUUUUAAAAACUCGAUUCUUUGACAGUAAAGUAUAUCUACUUCAGUUUACUGGAUAUCGACGAGCGGUACCUGUUGAAAAAGGUUUGAAAAGCACUGAUCUAGAUCUAGAUCUACUGGGUAAUAGUUGAAAGCAAUCGUAUAUUUACUAAAUUCUUUAUCACUUAGCCGAAAUUCGUAUCUAUAGUUUUGUAUAUAAAUAACAAAAUGGCGAGUGUUUUGCUUUCACACUCACAGCAUUCGCAGGUUGAAACUUUAAAGAGGCGUAAGAAACAAACUAAAAUUCUAAAAAAAUAAAUAAACUAAAAAAUUCUUUUGUCUGUUCGCGAACAUUUAUCUUUAUCGGAUGAAGCAACACGGUUUGUCUGUCGACUGCGAAAUUCUCAGCUGCAGCAACUCAAUAUUUGGUAUCAGGCUUUUCUGCCAGCAGUCUCUUCUUCCUCAAGAUGACAUUUCUGACGUGUUCCUUAGGAUGGUCAUGUUGGUUUUUGAUUAUGUCAUUAAGGAUGUGCUGUUGAGUGAAAAGACUACUACACAGUGGAAACUGGUUCAAGAACAGAUGACUAAUUAACAACAAUGAAAAGACAAAUCAGAAACAAGAGGAGAGGCAUUUACUACACAUGUGCAGUUUGUUUGGUUUUAUUUACAGUCAUUAUUUUAAGAUCCGCCAAACAGUCAAAGAUCUCAAAGUUGAGACUUAAAUCUCGAAUGGAUUCUUAUUUUUCAGUUGAUUGUGUCUAACACAAAUAAGAUGGAACUGAAGCAUCCCACAUGCACAAUAGCAAUAAUGAGAACUAUGAGAGAGGAUAUGAAUUGUGGCUUAUGGUUAAAGCCAAAAAGAGAAAUCAAAAUAUUAAAUUGUAUGGCCUUACUUGGGCAUUUUCUGGUUGGAUUGGUCAAGGCACACAUAAUCCUUAUACAAAUGUUUCUCUGACAGCUUACAUUGUUCGAUGGAUUACUGGAGCUAAAAGAAGGCAUAAUUUAACAAUAGUCUACAUUGGGCUGCCAUUAUCCAAGCACAUAUGAUUCUCCGGAGGCUUACAUCACUGGAAAAAGUCUUUCGGCUUCUGAAGAUUACAGUACAUGUAAUGCUGCAAAUGGAGGAGGAUGCUGGGCCAGGUAAACACUCUAUAACAUAAUGACAUAGUGAAUGAAAUAAAAUUGUAUUGUAAUUUUAGUCUAAAAUAGUGAGAUAUAUAUAUAUAUAUAUAUAUAAGUAUACAGUAUAAGCCAGUUCCUGAAUUAGCUUGUUACAAUGCACAUUGGCCAAGAAAUACAGCCAAAGUUUAAAAUUCUGGAUAAAGUCAUCUCUAUUUUACUUUGGCUAGCUAUUUUCUGUAUAGGCAAAAGAUUGGCAGCAAUUCUCUCUGCAAAUGAUGAUGUGCUGAUUCAUAAUAGAACAUUUGACAUUUUUAAUCAUGGGUGGUUGAGGGGGGGGGUGCUAAGUGGUUAAGUGCGGUUGCUUUAGAGCUAAGGGUUUUCAGGUUCAAAUCUUGUUGAAGAUUGUUUUUGAAUUUCAGGAUUUUAGAAUGCCUUGGGUCAGUGCAAUUCUAAUGGGUAUCUGACAUUAGUUGGGGAAAGUAAAGAAGGUUGGUCGUUGUGCUGGCCAUAUGAUACCUUUAUAACAGUAGGCCACAGAAACAGAUGACAUUUACAUCAUCUGCCAUAUAGAUUGAAAAUUCUAAAAGGCAUUCUUUUUACAUUUUAAUCCCUAACUAUUCUAAAAAUUCUAACCAUUUUUUCAUUCAAAGACAUUUUUUCUUUUCUGAGCAACUAAAUUGAUGAUCAUGUUAAAUCAACAUUUGAUUUUUAAAAAAUAAUUUCUGAUUUACUUUGAUGCAAGAAAAAGCUAAUAUUAUAAGCAUUACUCACCAUAGUCAAAUUAUGCACUUUUAUAAAGUAUGCUAAGUAGGCUUAGCAAAGCAUAAAAAAAAAGAAUAUUUGCUAUUGACCUUUUCGAAAAUUAAAACAAAAAAAAAAUUUUGUGCCAAGAUCAUUAUACUAUAGCUUUUUAUUGUAUUGCAUGCCACCUAAAAAAAGUUUGACAUUCUGCAUGAUAUCUACUGAGGUCAAUGAAAUAUGGAAAAGGAGCUACAAACUAAGUACAUUAAUGAAACCAAAAAAAAAAAAGAAUUAGAAGAUAACUACCAUGUCAGACAAAAACUGUCUAAUUUUAAGAAAGGCCUAACUUCUAACUAUGACCAAUUGUGACAAAGAAUACAUUUUAUUACUUAAUUAUCAGAAAGAAUGUCAAAUUAGGUAGGAGGUGUGGUGGCCGAGUGGUAAAGUUGUUAGCUUCUGAACCAGGGGUUUCAGGUUUGAAUUCUGGUGAAGACUGGGAUUUUUACUUUCUGUAAUGUCUUAGUGUCAAUGAUUAGAUUGACCAUGGUAAUGACUUAUGUCAAUAAAAACAUUGAAAAUGGUAAUGAGUUAGUGUCAAUGAUUACAUUGAGAAUGGUAAUGACUUAGUGUUAUUGAUUGGAUUGAGAAUGGUAAUGACUUAAUUUCAAUAAAAACAACAAAAAUG
This is an RNA transcript of Biomphalaria glabrata, 3383 nucleotides long. It is a transcript of the gene named galactocerebrosidase-like, with no coding region annotated. The transcript is spliced from 5 exons. Lineage: Eukaryota; Metazoa; Mollusca; Gastropoda; Planorbidae. The record is from RefSeq and is a predicted model, not a curated record.